AGUGAACGCUGGCGGUAGGCCCAACACAUGCAAGUCGAACGGCAGCACAGUAAGAGCUUGCUCUUACGGGUGGCGAGUGGCGGACGGGUGAGGAAUACAUCGGAAUCUACUUUUUCGUGGGGGAUAACGUAGGGAAACUUACGCUAAUACCGCAUACGACCUACGGGUGAAAGCAGGGGAUCUUCGGACCUUGCGCGAUUGAAUGAGCCGAUGUCGGAUUAGCUAGUUGGCGGGGUAAAGGCCCACCAAGGCGACGAUCCGUAGCUGGUCUGAGAGGAUGAUCAGCCACACUGGAACUGAGACACGGUCCAGACUCCUACGGGAGGCAGCAGUGGGGAAUAUUGGACAAAGGGCGCAAGCCUGAUCCAGCCAUACCGCGUGGGUGAAGAAGGCCUUCGGGUUGUAAAGCCCUUUUGUUGGGAAAGAAAGGCAGCAGGUUAAUACCCCGCUGUUCUGACGUUACCCAAAGAAUAAGCACCGGCUAACUUCGUG
This 492-nucleotide ribosomal RNA is filed under the name uncultured bacterium. RNAcentral's name for it is "partial 16S ribosomal RNA". It matches the Rfam family "Bacterial small subunit ribosomal RNA", at positions 29 to 507 of the family's 1533-position model. The record is from RNAcentral.